RNAcentral lists this long non-coding RNA (294 nucleotides) under Fukomys damarensis (Damara mole-rat). RNAcentral's name for it is "lncRNA (ENSFDAG00000032434.1)". The record is from RNAcentral. Lineage: Eukaryota; Metazoa; Chordata; Mammalia; Rodentia; Bathyergidae.
GCUGGUGUAUUUAAAGUGUAUGAGGAGGAACCUGAGGAAAUUGCUCCAGAAGAGCCUCCAGUUGAAGUCCCAGAAGAGCCUGAGCCGGUUGAAGUCCCAGAAGAGCCUGAGCCUGCAGCACCUCCAAAAGUGAUUGUUCCACCUAAGAAGCCAGUUCCUGAAAAGAAAGCUGUCAUUGCCAAGAAACCAGAACCACCACCCGUGAAAGGUAUUUCUCACCGCCAGAAAAAUGUUGCUAAAGUGUUAUUUUCCACUGCUCUACUUAAUGAUUUCCAUCCUUUAUUGACGCUGUGA